AGGGGGAGUAACGUUACUGAAAAGAAACGCUAAUACCGCAUGAGACUACAGAGCUGCAUGGCUCAGUGGUCAAAGGAGCAAUCCGCUGAAAGAUGGACUCGCGUCCGAUUAGAUAGUAGGCGGGGUAACGGCCCACCUAGUCGACGAUCGGUAGCCGGACUGAGAGGUUGAACGGCCACAUUGGGACUGAGACACGGCCCAGACUCCUACGGGAGGCAGCAUG
This 223-nucleotide ribosomal RNA is filed under the name uncultured bacterium. RNAcentral's name for it is "partial 16S ribosomal RNA". It matches the Rfam family "Bacterial small subunit ribosomal RNA", at positions 135 to 353 of the family's 1533-position model. The record is from RNAcentral.